This 71-nucleotide transfer RNA is filed under the name Camelus bactrianus (Bactrian camel). It matches the Rfam family "tRNA". Rfam says of the family: Transfer RNA (tRNA) molecules are approximately 80 nucleotides in length. Their secondary structure includes four short double-helical elements and three loops (D, anti-codon, and T loops). Further hydrogen bonds mediate the characteristic L-shaped molecular structure. tRNAs have two regions of fundamental functional importance: the anti-codon, which is responsible for specific mRNA codon recognition, and the 3' end, to which the tRNAs corresponding amino acid is attached (by aminoacyl-tRNA synthetases). tRNAs cope with the degeneracy of the genetic code in two manners: having more than one tRNA (with a specific anti-codon) for a particular amino acid; and 'wobble' base-pairing, i.e. permitting non-standard base-pairing at the 3rd anti-codon position. RNAcentral also lists the same sequence under 2 other names. Lineage: Eukaryota; Metazoa; Chordata; Mammalia; Artiodactyla; Camelidae. The record is from Rfam by way of RNAcentral.
GAGGGUAUGGCUCAGCGGUAGAGCGUACCUUAGCGUGCACAAGGUCCUGGGUUCGAUCCCCAGUACCUCCA